AUGGAGGAAGGUAAUGUUGAAACAGUUGGCCCUGAAGAAAUGGCCACCAAACGGCCAGUCAAGUUAACUGAGAAGGCAAUUGAGAACAAACUGUACAGGCUACUUGGCUCCAGGAGAAGUUUUCUAGCCCGACACACAACUCUAAGGAGGGAAGUUACCAGUUUAAUCACAUUAGCUGAUAAUUUGUCAACAGUGAAAGAAAUAAUGCAGGAAGAAUUUAAUCCAGUUCUCCAAGAUUUUGUUGACAUCACUGAACAAUUAGGAGAUCUUUUACCUGAAGAUGAGAAAGAGGCAGAUAUUAACAACUGGUUUGAGCCUAAAAUGACAGUUAUCAGACAGUUUACUGAAGAAACUGACAAAUGGAUGGAGCAGGAGACCUUGAACUUACAACGAACAAACCAAGAAUCACAAGCUGAGGAAGAGAUAAACCCUGAUGAUAGUGUGUCACAAGUGAGCCAUAAGUCCAAUAAACUAAGCAAGAAGGGCUCAUGUGCUGGAUGCUCAACUGUCGUGUCUUCUCGUGCAUCAGUUUGUGCUAUUGAAGAAGCCAAGCUCUCUGGUCUAGUAGAACGUGCUGCUAUUCUGGAGAAGAAACAAGAGUUAGAAAUGGAAGAAGUACGUAUCAAAGCAGCUAAAGAGAAGUUAGAUCUAGAUGCAGCUAUUGCAGAAAAAAGAGCAAAAGUCAGAAUACUGAAACAGUAUGUGAAAUCAGAGGAUGGCAUGAACAGCUACCUGCGCCCUCAUGCAGCAGGUGGUGCAAGAGUGAAAGAAGAGGAAAACCCCGCCCCUCUCUCUCAGAUCAGGUCUUCUUACAGAAGCCAGGCAUCACUAAGGCCAUUGCAAGAUGUAAGACAUCAGGUUGCUACAGUAAACACUGCAGUGCAACAGCAUGAUGGAAGCAUGAGUGGCCUUCUGAAAGUAAUGGAAAAUCAAAACGCUAUUACAGAGAUGCUUGUUAAGCAACAGCAGUAUGCUCAGCUUCCUGAGAAAGAAGUGGCAGUGUUCAAGGGUGAUCCACUUACUUAUAGAUCUUUCAUUAGAGCUUUCGAACAAGCCAUUGAGCAGAAGACGGACAGUGAACAAGACAAAUUGUAUUACCUACAACAGUUCACUGCAGGAGAACCGCAGGAGCUUGUUCGAAGCUGCGAACACAGACCAUUACACAAGGGGUUCAAAGAAGCAAAAGAGCUCUUGAAGAAACAUUAUGGAGAUGAGUUGGUCAUUGCAAGCGCUUACAUCGAUAAAGCUUUAAAGUGGGCACCAAUCAAAGCUGAAGAUGGAAAAGCACUUAAGACCUAUGCGUUAUUCCUAACUGGUUGUUGCAACACGAGCCAGGAUGUUGAAUCGAUGGAGGAAAUGAAUAAUCCUACGAAUAUGAGGAUGGUGGUAUCCAAACUACCUUACAAGAUGCGAGAAAGUUGGCGCAAUGAAGCAUUUAAAAUCAAGGAGAAAAGAGGACUCAGAGCAAGAUUUGCCGACCUCGUCACCUUCAUUGACCGACAGUCUAAGAUAGCCAUGGAUCCACUCUUUGGAGACCUCCAAGGCAAAAACCCACCACCAGCAGGAAAAGGCAAGGAAAUUGGGAAAGUGGGCAAGAGUGGAGGAAAAGGAGCAAGCUUUGCAACCAAAGUAUGGAAAGGUACAAGACUACCAUGGAAAAGAAAGCACUUACCUUGGAACAGCUGA
Long non-coding RNA from Pygocentrus nattereri (red-bellied piranha), 1686 nucleotides. Lineage: Eukaryota; Metazoa; Chordata; Actinopteri; Characiformes; Serrasalmidae. The record is from Ensembl.